This is a non-coding RNA of Bactrocera oleae (olive fruit fly), 1717 nucleotides long. NCBI's taxonomy places the organism in Eukaryota, Metazoa, Arthropoda, Insecta, Diptera, Tephritidae. The record is from RefSeq and is a predicted model, not a curated record.
GGUGCAAUAUUUUUGUAUUGUUACAACCUUAAAUAAAUUCAUCUGUGAAAGAAUAUAGUUCUUUUCUUUAUAAGUAAAUUGUUUUUUCAGUGAAAACUUGUUCAAACAUGAUCAUUUAAUUUCGAAACUUUUAAUAAUUGUCGAUGUAUUAAUAAACCAAAAUGAGUUAUAAGAGUAAUUGGGAUACCAAAUCAAUAAAUCAUUAUAGAACCGUGCAACAGAUAAAAAGGCAACUGCGUCAAGGAAACUCGGCAUAUUUGUGUAACCAUCCGGAAAUCCGAGCUAUAAUACGAGUACUCAUUCAUGAGGCCAUAAAUGAAAAAACAGAAAAUGUUCCUAAAUUUAUUGCCAAUUUAUUCAGUUGUGGGAAUGCGCCUCGUUUGACGAUAAUGUGCACCGUGAAUAGAAACAAAAUGUUCUCGCCGAGUUUGGUGUUCGAAGCUUUGAUACGCAUUAACACUAUUAGAGGGCGAGGUCAUGUCAAUUUUUCACAACCUUUAUAACCACGCUUGCCUCAUUCCACUGACCCUCUGUGUCAGAUUUGUAUUUUGUAACUCAAUUUGUGACUUAUCACAAUUUGACUUUUGUUGGGAGUAGUGAUUACAGAUUACAACUUACCUUUGAUUAUCAAACUAUUAAUGAGCAAAUAAAAGUGGUACAUAAAGAGCUUAAGAAAAGUCGUUACACCGGAUUUGAUCCAGAAGUGAUUCUUGAAGAAAGAGAGUCAACAAAAUCUAUAGUAUCUAAAACAUCCAUACAUGAUAGCGCCAAUGCAAUUUUAAAAUAUGCUCUCGUAUUACCAUUAAACGUAAAAUAAUAUUUAAUUAAAUUUAUUGUAUAAAUUUAAAUUUUAAAUUCCAUUAUACAUAAAAUUUUCAAUGUCACGGUAUUCAAUAUACUUCAUUUAGCUACUGGUCAAUGCUACAUUUGGUUUUGAUGAUUUGUUUUACUUAUUGUGGGAUUUACACAUUAUGCUCGUUAGAACGUUGGGCAGGACGCAAUUAAUAUUCGGUUCAUGGAAGCUCAUAGAGACAUUGUGAAGAGUGACCAAACUAAAGUCGAUGCGCUCUGGAAAGAAUUGGUUAAAGAGCUUAAUGUACUUUUAAAAAGGUUUGGAUGGAUUGGAAGGCUUUCUUCAGGAAAAAAGUUACCCACAACACUCCCGAAGCUAGAGCAACUGGUGGAGGGCCAUUUAAUAAAUACACACUAACCGCAACGGCAGAUACGAUUGCCUAGUUGUGCAGCAUAUACACCGUUGUGGAAAUUUUGAAUUAAAAAGAAGCAAAUGCCAGAGAACAUCUGCACAUACAUACAUUUGCCGUUCCCUUAUGAGGUGGUGAAAAUUUGCUUGGCUCCUUCUUAGAGUGGUGUAGUUUGUUGAGUUCGCUUAUAAAGAAGUACAGUUAACAUUUGUGCCUUCUCUAUUCAUUAACAUUCUCUGACAUAAUCUUUGCUUGAAAAUUGGUUUACCUAUUAUUUAUUAUUCAGCGUAAUUUCAAACCACCUCAUUUAUGCCACGUAACACGUUUAGUAAUCAAAAAGAUUACAAGAAAUAUUAUUGUAGCAACCAAUUCGACUGAAAAAAUUAAUGGAGAAAUUGUCCCAUUGCCGCGUUGUGCAAUGAUACUGUUAAAAUGUACGUUACGAAUAGGACUGAAUUAAAUUAAAUUUGUAAAUGUUUUUAAUAAAAAUGUUAAAUAUUAUUGUUGAAAAUUAA